RNAcentral lists this ribosomal RNA (251 nucleotides) under uncultured bacterium. Its description in RNAcentral is "partial 16S ribosomal RNA". It matches the Rfam family "Bacterial small subunit ribosomal RNA", at positions 524 to 776 of the family's 1533-position model. The record is from RNAcentral.
UACGUAGGGGGCAAGCGUUAUCCGGAAUUACUGGGUGUAAAGGGUGAGUAGGCGGCAUGGUAAGCCAGAUGAAAGCCUUGGGCUUAACCCGAGGAUUGCAUUUGGAACUAUCAAGCUAGAGUACAGGAGAGGAAAGCGGAAUUCCUAGUGUAGCGGUGAAAUGCGUAGAUAUUAGGAAGAACACCAGUGGCGAAGGCGGCUUUCUGGACUGAAACUGACGCUGAGGCACGAAAGCGUGGGGAGCGAACAGG